Molecule: ribosomal RNA, 253 nt
Filed under: uncultured bacterium
Lineage: Bacteria
Description: partial 16S ribosomal RNA
Rfam family: Bacterial small subunit ribosomal RNA
Source: RNAcentral
UACGGAGGGUGCAAGCGUUGUUCGGAAUUACUGGGCGUAAAGCGCGUGUAGGCGGUUGGGCAAGUCGGAUGUGAAAGCCUUUCGCUUAACGGAAGAAGUGCAUUCGAAACUACCCAGCUGGAGUACGGGAGAGGAGAGUGGAAUUCCCGGUGUAGAGGUGAAAUUCGUAGAUAUCGGGAGGAACACCAGUGGCGAAGGCGGCUCUCUGGUCCGAUACUGACGCUGAGACGCGAAAGCGUGGGGAGCAAACAGG